Molecule: ribosomal RNA, 514 nt
Filed under: uncultured Glomus
Lineage: Eukaryota; Fungi; Glomeromycota; Glomeromycetes; Glomerales; Glomeraceae
Description: SSU rRNA
Rfam family: Eukaryotic small subunit ribosomal RNA
Source: RNAcentral
AGCAGCCGCGGUAAUUCCAGCUCCAAUAGCGUAUAUUAAAGUUGCUGCAGUUAAAAAGCUCGUAGUUGAAUUUCGGGACUAAUAUGUCGGUCGUGCCUCGGUACGUACUGGUUUAUUGGUUUCUCCUUUCUGAAGAACCAUGAUGUCAUUUAUUUGGUGUCGUGGGGAAUCAGGACUGUUACUUUGAAAAAAUUAGAGUGUUUAAAGCAGGCUCACGCUUGAAUACAUUAGCAUGGAAUAAUGAAAUAGGACGUUUGAUUCUAUUUUGUUGGUUUCUAGGAUCGACGUAAUGAUUAAUAGGGAUAGUUGGGGGCAUUAGUAUUCAAUUGUCAGAGGUGAAAUUCUUGGAUUUAUUGAAGACUAACUACUGCGAAAGCAUUUGCCAAGGAUGUUUUCAUUAAUCAAGAACGAAAGUUAGGGGAUCGAAGACGAUCAGAUACCGUCGUAGUCUUAACCAUAAACUAUGCCGACUAGGGAUCGGAUGAUGUUAAUUUUUAAUGACUCAUUCGGUGCC